This 484-nucleotide ribosomal RNA is filed under the name uncultured bacterium. RNAcentral's name for it is "partial 16S ribosomal RNA". It matches the Rfam family "Bacterial small subunit ribosomal RNA", at positions 29 to 507 of the family's 1533-position model. The record is from RNAcentral.
AUUGAACGCUGGCGGCAUGCUUUACACAUGCAAGUCGAACGGCAGCGCGGGCUUCGGCCUGGCGGCGAGUGGCGAACGGGUGAGUAAUACAUCGGAACGUGCCCAGUAGUGGGGGAUAGCUCGGCGAAAGCCGGAUUAAUACCGCAUACGACCUGAGGGUGAAAGCGGGGGAUGUUCGGACCUCGCGCUAUUGGAGCGGCCGAUGGCAGAUUAGUUAGUUGGUGGGGUAAAGGCCUACCAAGGCGACGAUCUGUAGCUGGUCUGAGAGGACGACCAGCCACACUGGGACUGAGACACGGCCCAGACUCCUACGGGAGGCAGCAGUGGGGAAUUUUGGACAAUGGGCGAAAGCCUGAUCCAGCAAUGCCGCGUGUGUGAUGAAGGCCUUCGGGUUGUAAAGCACUUUUGGCGGGAACGAAAAGGACUGUGCCAAUACCACGGUUCGAUGACGGUACCCGCAGAAUAAGCACCGGCUAACUACGUG